GACGGGCGGUGUGUACGGGCAGGCUCGAGUGUGGUAGGGGAGACUGGAACUCCUGGUGUAGCGGUGAAAUGCGCAGAUAUCAGGAAGAACACCGAUGGCGAAGGCAGGUCUCUGGGCCAUUACUGACACUGAGGAGCGAAAGCAUGGGUAGCGAACAGGAUUAGAUACCCUGGUAGUCCAUGCCGUAAACGUUGGGCACUAGAUGUGGGGAACAUUCCACGUUUUCCGCGUCGUAGCUAACGCAUUAAGUGCCCCGCCUGGGGAGUACGGCCGCAAGGCUAAAACUCAAAGGAAUUGACGGGGGCCCGCACAAGCGGCGGAGCAUGCUGAUUAAUUCGAUGCAACGCGAAGAACCUUACCAAGGCUUGACAUGCACCGGACGACUCCAGAGAUGGGGUUUUGUUCGGAUUGGUGCACAGGUGGUGCAUGGUUGUAGUCAGCUCAUGUCGUGAGAUGUUGGGUUAAGUCCCGCAACGAGCGCAACCCUUGUUUUAUGUUGCCAGCACGUAAUGGUGGGGACUCAUAGGAGACUCCCGGGGUCAACUCGGAGGAAGGUGGGGACGACGUCAAUCAUCAUGCCCCUUAUGUCUUGGGCUUCAAGCAUGCUACAAUGGUCGGUACAAUGGGUUGCGAAACUGUGAGGUGGAGCGAAUCCCAAAAAGCCGACCUCAGUUCGGAUUGGGGUGAGCAACUCGACCCCAUGAAGUCGGAGUCGCUAGUAAUCGCAGAUCAGCAACGCUGCGGUGAAUACGUUCCCGGGCCUUGUACACACCGCCCGUA
This 780-nucleotide ribosomal RNA is filed under the name uncultured bacterium. RNAcentral's name for it is "bacterial SSU rRNA". It matches the Rfam family "Bacterial small subunit ribosomal RNA", at positions 618 to 1398 of the family's 1533-position model. The record is from RNAcentral.